GUUUGAUCAUGGCUCAGGAUGAACGCUGGCGGCGUGCCUAACACAUGCAAGUCGAGCGAUUCUCUUUUGAGAAGAGCGGCGGACGGGUGAGUAACGCGUGGGUAACCUGCCCUGUACACACGGAUAACAUACCGAAAGGUAUGCUAAUACGGGAUAACAUAUUUUGAUGGCAUCAUUGAAAUAUCAAAGCUCCGGCGGUACAGGAUGGACCCGCGUCUGAUUAGCUAGUUGGUGAGGUAAUGGCCCACCAAGGCGACGAUCAGUAGCCGACCUGAGAGGGUGAUCGGCCACAUUGGAACUGAGACACGGUCCAAACUCCUACGGGAGGCAGCAGUGGGGAAUAUUGCACAAUGGGCGAAAGCCUGAUGCAGCAACGCCGCGUGAGCGAUGAAGGCCUUCGGGUCGUAAAGCUCUGUCCUCAAGGAAGAUAAUGACGGUACUUGAGGAGGAAGCCCCGGCUAACUACGUGCCAGCAGCCGCGGUAAUACGUAGGGGGCUAGCGUUAUCCGGAAUUACUGGGCGUAAAGGGUGCGUAGGUGGUUUUUUAAGUCAGAAGUGAAAGGCUACGGCUCAACCGUAGUAAGCUUUUGAAACUGAGAAACUUGAGUGCAGGAGAGGAGAGUAGAAUUCCUAGUGUAGCGGUGAAAUGCGUAGAUAUUAGGAGGAAUACCAGUUGCGAAGGCGGCUCUCUGGACUGUAACUGACACUGAGGCACGAAAGCGUGGGGAGCAAACAGGAUUAGAUACCCUGGUAGUCCACGCCGUAAACGAUGAGUACUAGGUGUCGGGGGUUACCCCCCUCGGUGCCGCAGCUAACGCAUUAAGUACUCCGCCUGGGAAGUACGCUCGCAAGAGUGAAACUCAAAUGAAUUGACGG
This 876-nucleotide ribosomal RNA is filed under the name uncultured bacterium. Its description in RNAcentral is "bacterial SSU rRNA". It matches the Rfam family "Bacterial small subunit ribosomal RNA", at positions 11 to 916 of the family's 1533-position model. The record is from RNAcentral.